This 370-nucleotide ribosomal RNA is filed under the name uncultured eukaryote. Its description in RNAcentral is "partial 18S ribosomal RNA". It matches the Rfam family "Eukaryotic small subunit ribosomal RNA", at positions 592 to 976 of the family's 1831-position model. The record is from RNAcentral.
CAAUAGCGUAUAUUAAAGUUGUUGCAGUUAAAAAGCUCGUAGUUGGACCUUGGACCUGGACAGGCGGUCCGCCUCACGGCGUGUACUGUCUUGCUGGGUCUUUCCUCUUGGUGAUCUGUUGUUUCGGCAGCAGGGAACCGGGACUUUUACUUUGAAAAAAUUAGAGUGUUCAAAGCAGGCUCGACGCCGGAAUAUAUUAGCAUGGAAUAAUAAAAUAGGACGUGCGGUUCUAUUUUGUUGGUUUUUGGAAUCGCCGUAAUGAUUAAUAGGGACAGUCGGGGGCAUUAGUACUCACAUGCUAGAGGUGAAAUUCUUGGAUUUUGUGAAGACUAACUUCUGCGAAAGCAUUUGCCAAGGAUGUUUUCAUUAA